AUUGAACGCUGGCGGCAUGCUUUACACAUGCAAGUCGAACGGUAACAGGCCGCAAGGUGCUGACGAGUGGCGAACGGGUGAGUAAUGCAUCGGAACGUGCCCAGUCGUGGGGUAUAACUACUCGAAAGAGUAGCUAAUACCGCAUACGAUCUAUGGAUGAAAGCGGGGGACCGUAAGGCCUCGCGCGAUUGGAGCGGCCGAUGUCAGAUUAGGUAGUUGGUGGGGUAAAGGCUCACCAAGCCAACGAUCUGUAGCUGGUCUGAGAGGACGACCAGCCACACUGGGACUGAGACACGGCCCAGACUCCUACGGGAGGCAGCAGUGGGGAAUUGUGGACAAUGGGCGCAAGCCUGAUCCAGCAAUGCCGCGUGCAGGAAGGAGGCCUUCGGGUUGUAAACUGCUUUUGUACGGAACGAAACGGCUCUGGUUAAUACCCGGGGCUAAUGACGGUACCGUAAGAAUAAGCACCGGCUAACUACGUG
This 482-nucleotide ribosomal RNA is filed under the name uncultured bacterium. Its description in RNAcentral is "partial 16S ribosomal RNA". It matches the Rfam family "Bacterial small subunit ribosomal RNA", at positions 30 to 507 of the family's 1533-position model. The record is from RNAcentral.